GACGAACGCUGGCGGCGUGCCUAAUACAUGCAAGUAGAACGCUGAAGAGAGGAGCUUGCUCUUCUUGGAUGAGUUGCGAACGGGUGAGUAACGCGUAGGUAACCUGCCUUGUAGCGGGGGAUAACUAUUGGAAACGAUAGCUAAUACCGCAUAACAAUGGAUGACACAUGUCAUUUAUUUGAAAGGGGCAAUUGCUCCACUACAAGAUGGACCUGCGUUGUAUUAGCUAGUAGGUGAGGUAACGGCUCACCUAGGCGACGAUACAUAGCCGACCUGAGAGGGUGAUCGGCCACACUGGGACUGAGACACGGCCCAGACUCCUACGGGAGGCAGCAGUAGGGAAUCUUCGGCAAUGGGGGCAACCCUGACCGAGCAACGCCGCGUGAGUGAAGAAGGUUUUCGGAUCGUAAAGCUCUGUUGUAAGUCAAGAACGAGUGUGAGAGUGGAAAGUUCACACUGUGACGGUAGCUUACCAGAAAGGGACGGCUAACUACGUGCCAGCAGCCGCGGUAAUACGUAGGUCACGAGCAUUGUCCGGAUUUAUUGGGCGUAAAGCGAGCGCAGGCGGUUUGAUAAGUCUGAAGUUAAAGGCUGUGGCUCAACCAUAGUUCGCUUUGGAAACUGUCAAACUUGAGUGCAGAAGGGGAGAGUGGAAUUCCAUGUGUAGCGGUGAAAUGCGUAGAUAUAUGGAGGAACACCGGUGGCGAAAGCGGCUCUCUGGUCUGUAACUGACGCUGAGGCUCGAAAGCGUGGGGAGCGAACAGGAUUAGAUACCCUGGUAGUCCACGCCGUAAACGAUGAGUGCUAGGUGUUGGAUCCUUUCCGGGAUUCAGUGCCGCAGCUAACGCAUUAAGCACUCCGCCUGGGGAGUACGACCGCAAGGUUGAAACUCAAAGGAAUUGACGGGGGCCCGCACAAGCGGUGGAGCAUGUGGUUUAAUUCGAAGCAACGCGAAGAACCUUACCAGGUCUUGACAUCCCGAUGCUAUUUCUAGAGAUAGAAAGUUACUUCGGUACAUCGGUGACAGGUGGUGCAUGGUUGUCGUCAGCUCGUGUCGUGAGAUGUUGGGUUAAGUCCCGCAACGAGCGCAACCCCUAUUGUUAGUUGCCAUCAUUCAGUUGGGCACUCUAGCGAGACUGCCGGUAAUAAACCGGAGGAAGGUGGGGAUGACGUCAAAUCAUCAUGCCCCUUAUGACCUGGGCUACACACGUGCUACAAUGGUUGGUACAACGAGUUGCGAGUCGGUGACGGCAAGCUAAUCUCUUAAAGCCAAUCUCAGUUCGGAUUGUAGGCUGCAACUCGCCUACAUGAAGUCGGAAUCGCUAGUAAUCGCGGAUCAGCACGCCGCGGUGAAUACGUUCCCGGGCCU
Molecule: ribosomal RNA, 1369 nt
Filed under: uncultured bacterium
Lineage: Bacteria
Description: bacterial SSU rRNA
Rfam family: Bacterial small subunit ribosomal RNA
Source: RNAcentral